This 468-nucleotide ribosomal RNA is filed under the name uncultured bacterium. Its description in RNAcentral is "partial 16S ribosomal RNA". It matches the Rfam family "Bacterial small subunit ribosomal RNA", at positions 28 to 507 of the family's 1533-position model. The record is from RNAcentral.
GACGAACGCUGGCGGCGUGCCUAACACAUGCAAGUCGAACGGAAAGGUCCUGCUUUUGUGCGGUGCUCGAGUGGCCAACGGGUGAGUAACACGUGGGUAACCUGUCCCUGACUGUGGGAUAACCUCAUGAAACUGGGGCUAUUCCCGGAUAGGAGCUCUUGCCGCUUGGUGGGGGCUGGAAAGAUUCGGUGGUUGGGGGUGGACUGGCGGCUUAUCAGCUUGUUGGUUGGGUAGUGGCUUACCAAGGCUUUGCCCGGUAGCCGACCUGGGAGGGGGACCGGCCAAGCUGCGACUGAGAUGCGACCCAGACUCCAACCGGAGGCAAGGGAGGAGAGUGGUACACAGUGGGCGGGGGGCAGGUGCGACAACGCCGCGUGCGGGAAGACGGCCAUCGGGUUGUAAACCACUUUCGCCUGUGACGGGGCGUUAGUGACGGUAAUGGGUGAAGAAGCACCGGCUAACUACGUG